Molecule: ribosomal RNA, 490 nt
Filed under: Pycnisia raptor
Lineage: Eukaryota; Metazoa; Arthropoda; Malacostraca; Decapoda; Atyidae
Description: partial 16S ribosomal RNA
Rfam family: Bacterial large subunit ribosomal RNA
Source: RNAcentral
CAGUCUGGCCUGCCCCCUGAUUUUUAAAGGGCCGCGGUAUUUGAACCGUGCUAAGGUAGCACAAUAAAUAGUCUUUUAAUUGAGGUCUAGUAUGAACGGUCGGACAUGAAGUGAGCUGUCUUAAUUAUAGUGUUUGAAUUUUACUUUUAAGUGAAAAGGCUUAAAUUGGGUGGUGGGACGAUAAGACCCUAUAAAGCUUUACAUUCUAUUUAUAAGUUGAAAAUUUUAUGGUUUUUUGCUCUUUUUUGGUAGAGUGUUUUGUUGGGGCGACAAGAAUAUAAAAUGGUAACUGUUUUUAUUUAAAAAAUAUGUUUUUAUAGGAGAGUUGAUCCUUUAUAAAGAUUAUAAGAGUUAAGUUACUUUAGGGAUAACAGCGUUAUUUUUCUUGAGAGUUCUUAUCGACAGAAAUAGUUGCGACCUCGAUGUUGAAUUAAGAUUUCUUCAAGGCGUAGCAGUUUUGAUAGUGGGUCUGUUCCACCUUUAAAAUCUU